This 881-nucleotide ribosomal RNA is filed under the name bacterium enrichment culture clone GYM2. Its description in RNAcentral is "bacterial SSU rRNA". It matches the Rfam family "Bacterial small subunit ribosomal RNA", at positions 53 to 913 of the family's 1533-position model. The record is from RNAcentral.
GCCUGUAGUAGAGUUGACCUGGCUCAGUGAAGGGUAGCUUGCUACCUGUACCUAGCGGCGGACGGGUGAGUAAUGCUUAGGAAUCUGCCUAUUAGUGGGGGACAACAUUCCGAAAGGAAUGCUAAUACCGCAUACGCCCUACGGGGGAAAGCAGGGGAUCUUCGGACCUUGCGCUAAUAGAUGAGCCUAAGUCAGAUUAGCUAGUUGGUGGGGUAAAGGCCUACCAAGGCGACGAUCUGUAGCGGGUCUGAGAGGAUGAUCCGCCACACUGGGACUGAGACACGGCCCAGACUCCUACGGGAGGCAGCAGUGGGGAAUAUUGGACAAUGGGCGAAAGCCUGAUCCAGCCAUGCCGCGUGUGUGAAGAAGGCCUUUUGGUUGUAAAGCACUUUAAGCGAGGAGGAGGCUACUGGGAUUAAUACUCUUGGAUAGUGGACGUUACUCGCAGAAUAAGCACCGGCUAACUCUGUGCCAGCAGCCGCGGUAAUACAGAGGGUGCGAGCGUUAAUCGGAUUUACUGGGCGUAAAGCGUGCGUAGGCGGCUUUUUAAGUCGGAUGUGAAAUCCCUGAGCUUAACUUAGGAAUUGCAUUCGAUACUGGGAAGCUAGAGUAUGGGAGAGGAUGGUAGAAUUCCAGGUGUAGCGGUGAAAUGCGUAGAGAUCUGGAGGAAUACCGAUGGCGAAGGCAGCCAUCUGGGCCUAAUACUGACGCUGAAGUACGAAAGCAUGGGGAGCAAACAGGAUUAGAUACCCCUGGUAGUUCAUGCCGUAAACGAUGUCUACUAGCCCGUUGGGGGCUUUUGAGGCUUUAUUGGAGCAGCUAACGCGAUCAGUAGACCGCCUGGGGGAGUAAGGCCGCAGACUAAAACUCAAAUGAAUUGA